RNAcentral lists this ribosomal RNA (901 nucleotides) under Russula sp. 2 LM-2010. RNAcentral's name for it is "LSU rRNA". It matches the Rfam family "Eukaryotic large subunit ribosomal RNA", at positions 64 to 943 of the family's 3401-position model. The record is from RNAcentral. Lineage: Eukaryota; Fungi; Basidiomycota; Agaricomycetes; Russulales; Russulaceae.
ACUAACAAGGAUUCCCCUAGUAACUGCGAGUGAAGCGGGAAAAGCUCAAAUUUAAAAUCUGGUGGCCUUUGGCCUCCGAGUUGUAAUUUAGAGAAGCGUCUUCCGCGCUGGACCAUGCACAAGUCUCCUGGAAUGGAGCGUCAUAGAGGGUGAGAAUCCCGUCUUUGGCAUGGACACACCAGGGCUUUUGUGAUGCGCUCUCGAAGAGUCGAGUUGUUUGGGAAUGCAGCUCAAAAUGGGUGGUGAACUCCAUCUAAAGCUAAAUAUUGGCGAGAGACCGAUAGCGAACAAGUACCGUGAGGGAAAGAUGAAAAGCACUUUGGAAAGAGAGUGAAACAGUACGUGAAAUUGUUGAAAGGGAAACGCUUGAAGUCAGUCGCGUCGACCGAGACUCAGCCUUGCCUCGGCUUGGUGUACUUCUCGGCUUGACGGGUCAGCAUCAAUUUUGCCCCUUGGAUAAUGGUGAGGGAAAUGUGACACCUUUACGGUGUGUUAUAGUCUCUCGUCGCAUGCAAGGGUUGGGAUUGAGGAACUCAGCACGCACCUCCGGGUGUCGGGGCUUUGCCUACGAUACGUGCUUAGGAUGUUGGCGUAAUGGCUUUAAACGACCCGUCUUGAAACACGGACCAAGGAGUCUAACAUGCCUGCGAGUGUUCGGGUGGAAAACCCGUGCGCGCAAUGAAAGUGAAAGUUGGGACCUCUGUCGUGGAGGGCACCGACGCCCGGACCAGACCUUCUGUGACGGCUCUGCGGUAAAGCAUGUAUGUUAGGACCCGAAAGAUGGUGAACUAUGCCUGAAUAGGGUGAAGCCNGAGGAAACUCUGGUGGAGGCUCGUAGCGAUUCUGACGUGCAAAUCGAUCGUCAAAUUUGGGUAUAGGGGCGAAAGACUAAUCGAACCAU